RNAcentral lists this ribosomal RNA (465 nucleotides) under uncultured bacterium. RNAcentral describes it as "partial 16S ribosomal RNA". It matches the Rfam family "Bacterial small subunit ribosomal RNA", at positions 28 to 507 of the family's 1533-position model. The record is from RNAcentral.
GACGAACGCUGGCGGCGUGCUUAACACAUGCAAGUCGAACGGAAAGGCCCCUUUGGGGGUACUCGAGUGGCGAACGGGUGAGUAACACGUGAGUAACCUGCCCUUGACUUCGGGAUAACUUCAGGAAACUGGGGCUAAUACCGGAUAGGAAUCCUUGCUGCAUGGUGGGGGUUGGAAAGCUUCGGCGGUUUUGGAUGGACUCGCGGCUUAUCAGCUUGUUGGUGGGGUAGUGGCUUACCAAGGCUUUGACGGGUAGCCGGCCUGAGAGGGCGACCGGCCACAGUGGGAAUGAGAUAAGGCCCCGGAUCCGAAGGGAGGGAGAAGUGGGGAAUAUUGACCAAUGGGCGGAAGGCGGAUGCAGAAACGCCGCGGGCGGGAGGACGGCCUUAGGGUUGUAAACCGCAUUCAGCAGGGGCGAAGCUUGUGGUGACGGUACCUGCAGAAGAAGCACCGGCUAACUACGUG